This is a long non-coding RNA of Rhineura floridana, 522 nucleotides long. RefSeq lists it as uncharacterized. The transcript has 2 exons. Lineage: Eukaryota; Metazoa; Chordata; Lepidosauria; Squamata; Rhineuridae. The record is from RefSeq and is a predicted model, not a curated record.
CCCUCGCGUGUAACGCCGUCUCUAGACCUUCGGACUGGACCCAUGGCUUUCUGAACUCUGCUUCCCUACCUGGACAAUGCUCUUGGACACUGCUACUGUAGGAGCCAGGGUGGCACCAAGGAAUAGGUCAGAGCUGUGGAGCCAUGCGAUUGUCCUCCUUGCUUCACCCAGCCACUGCUCCAUUGCCAAGCCCAAGACUCAUGUGGCAGCACUCACCGAGUACCUUGCAGAUGUCAGCUACUGUGCGGAAGACCGGCUGGGCAAAAUUGGCCCGGAUCUUGACGUUGCAGCGGUUUGGUAAGGAAAGAAGCACUGGCUUGUGCUGGGGAGUGUACCGGAGUUUGGCAUCGGCCAAAAUCCCAUAUUUAUCCAGGCUCCAGUUUGUCUUCAGCAGCCAAAGCUUCUUCUGCUCCCACCACAAGGCGUGGUCUGACCAGUCCCUCUGAAGUUCUGGAGAACAGAAAAACAAAACAGGACACACCCAUCAGUAUGUAACAAUAAACACAGAUCCAGAGAAGAACA